UGUAUGUAGUGUAUAGUCGAGUUUGA
Molecule: small RNA, 26 nt
Filed under: Bombyx mori (domestic silkworm)
Lineage: Eukaryota; Metazoa; Arthropoda; Insecta; Lepidoptera; Bombycidae
Description: ovarian small RNA-35501
Source: RNAcentral